Molecule: long non-coding RNA, 267 nt
Organism: Gymnogyps californianus (California condor)
Lineage: Eukaryota; Metazoa; Chordata; Aves; Accipitriformes; Cathartidae
Exons: 3
Source: RefSeq, a predicted model, not a curated record
CCACCUGACUGCUCAUUUCUGCAAGCAGAAAGCAGCUUUUCAAAAGUAUUCUGGUGUCACAGAGCUUUAUAAGAGAGCUCAUGUCCUUGAUGCGCUGUGCAAGCCUGUGACAGCAGUAUCUGCAGACAGAAGGUUUGGACUGUGCAAUCUCCUAAAGGCAUCGUGAGCCAGAGCAGGCAGCUGAGGGCUGCAGCCUGGAGAAGCUGUUUUGGACAGGGACAUGGAGGGGAGGACUCCAACCUUUUAACGGAGAAAUAAACUGAUUAU